Molecule: long non-coding RNA, 5170 nt
Filed under: Gossypium barbadense (sea-island cotton)
Lineage: Eukaryota; Viridiplantae; Streptophyta; Magnoliopsida; Malvales; Malvaceae
Description: long non-coding RNA (GBAR_LNC009512)
Source: RNAcentral
UUUCUCAUUUGUUCUUUGCGGAUGAUUUAGUGAUCUUCUGUAAAGCUCAUAUUGACCAAGCUCGAUUACUGGAUAACAUUCUAAAACUUUUUUGUGAUAUUUCAGGACACCGAAUCAGUGUUAGGAAAAGUAACAUUUUCUUUUCCAAGAAUACUGAAACUGAUGUUCGCAAUCAAAUUAACCAACUUUUUGGGUUCCAAGAAGUCCGAAACCUUGGUACAUAUCUAGGUGUCCCUCUUUUACAUGACAGGAUCACCAAAAGUACCCUGAGCUUUAUAGUGGACAAAGUGAGGAAGAAACUGCAGAAUUGGGAUGCUAGGAAGUUGUCUAUUGCAGGGAGAAUUACGAUGGCGCAAUCGGUACUUCUCUCCAUUCCUAAUUACUUCAUGCAAUCCUUGAUGAUUCCGAAAGGUGUCAGUGCAGACAUUGAAAGGUUGGUCAGAAAGUUUAUUUGGGGUAGUUCUGAUGGGCAUCCUAAAUUAUCUCUAGUGGGUUGGAAUUCUAUCUGUCAACCGAAGUCUCGGGGAGGUCUUGGAUUCAGACAUCUGGAAGAUCAAAAUUCAUCUUUCCUUUUGAAGAUUGGAUUUAAUCUAGUGUCUAAAAGUAAUGCACUUUGGGUUCGUGUCCUUCGUGCCAAAUAUGGUUGGAAAGAUAAUUUCCCAGAUUCUAUUAAUAAAAGUCAAUGCUCUCAUUUAUGGAAGGCUCUCUCUAAGACAUGGCCGUUGCUUCGAGAAAAUCUUGCAUGGUCUAUUGGAGAUGGUGCUAGUGCUCGUUGUUGGAAAGAUCCUUGGAUUCCAGGUAUGGGCCUUUUAAUCUCUUCAAUUCCUUCUUAUGCUAACCUUAAUUUGGAUUGUUGUGUUAGGGAAAUGGUCAAUUCUGAUGGUUGCUGGAACUUGGAUCUAUUUCGUGUCUGGGUGUCUGAAGAUACUAUUAAUAGAAUCAUUAGCAUUCCUCCUCCUCACCCUGACUCUGGACCAGAUAGGAUUAUUUGGACCAAGUCAGCUUCUGGAGUCUUCUCAGUUCGCAGUGCCUAUUGGCAUUUGAAAGAGAACUCUUGGAAUUCCCAGGAGGAUUAUUGGAAGAUUGUUUGGAAAUAUCCAGGUCCUCAAAGAGUAAGAGUUUUCCUUUGGCUUGUUUUCAAACAAAAACUUCUUACAAAUUCGGAACGAGUUAGAAGGGGAUUCAGUCAUUGUAGUUCCUGUUCUAUAUGUGGCCACGAAUUUGAGGAUUUGGUUCAUGUUCUUCGGGAUUGUCCCUCUGCGAAAGAAGUGUGGCGACUUGUGAUUCCAAAUAAGUUAAAACAAAGGUUUUUCUCUGUCUCUCUUCAGGAUUGGCUUAUUCUUAACCUUUGUUUUCAUGAAAGAUUGCAGGAUUAUGGUCUCGUGUGGUCUUGCCUGUUUGGACUAGUUGUUUGGCGUUUAUGGAAGAACAGGAGUUUAUUUAUCUUCCAACAUAUUUCAUGGACGGCAUCGGAAGUGGUGAAAGUUUCUAGCUGUUGGGGCCGUAAUUACAUCUCUCAUGUUGGAGAUAUCAUUAACAACAAGCAGAAAUAUCCCUUGAUAGUCAACCUUGAUGAUACUUGGGUGUUUUUAUCCACUGAUGGAGCAGUGACCAGAGAUUCUGGUUAUGCUGCAACAGGAGGCGUGGCUCGUGAUCAGAAUGGAAAUUGGAUAGUGGGAUUUAACAGAUUCCUAGGCGUGUGUUCUCCAUUUGAAGCUGAAGUUUGGGCCAUUCUAGACGGUAUCCUUAUUUUACUUAAUAAGGGAUAUAAAAAAACUAUUAUCAUGACUGAUAAUCUUGAAGUUGCCCAAAUCUUGAAUGAUAUGGAUUCGGAAGAUUCAGGAAUCACUGUACUCCGAAGGACUCUUCGCAUCAUGCAAUCAGAAGGGGAGUGGAGGAUUAAGCAUAUAUCAAGAAAUCAAAACUUGGUAGCGGAUCGUCUUGCUAAACUCAGUUUGAGUUGGAAAUCAAGCUUACAAAUUAUGGAUGAGGCUCCUAGGGACAUUUUAGAUUUACUUCAAGAGGAUAAAAUUAAUGGUUGCUUUAUGUAAUUGAUGUUUCUUUUCACCAAAAAAAAAAAGAAGUUAAUUGUGGCCAAAUAUAUUUAUCUAUUUUUCAUGAUUUUUAGAAUCGGACUGAUGAUCAAAUCGAUCAAACCACCGAUUUUCAAUCCAACCGACUAACCUAAUGUUAAAAAAAUCAUGGUUUCGUUUAAAUUUAUAAAACUUGAUUUUGGCAUUUUGCAAGAGUUUUUUUUUUUUAAAUUCAGUUGGGUAUCAUUAUUAAACACAAUUAAUAUCAUCAUCAUGAAAGCAUCAAAAGGCACAAUCACAUUAAACAUCUCAUCUGCCCAUUCAUUUUCAUUAGGCCUUUCUUCUCUCCAUACCCAUUCAACAUCAUCUACAUAAUUUUUUCCCAAGCCUUUUUGCAAGAGUUAUAAGCAAAAAAAUGUUGGAAUAAACAUUAUUGUGUGUUGAGUAAUGUUGGAAUGAACAUUAUUGUGUGUUGAGUGUUGUGUUGGACCAUAGAUAAAUGAUGCCUCAAAGCAGAAAAGAGUUCAAAUAUGAAAGGUUUUGGGAAAAAGGAUGGCGAGUCUUAUAAAAUUAUUCGUGAGACAUGAUGUUGCGGUCAUGGAGAGAAGUCUCAAUUCCAUAGUAUUUAGAAGGACAUUGUUUCUUACGACCAAAAUUUGAAGUGGAACAUAAAUACUCGUAAUAUUAGAAGAAAAUUCAAUCUAACCAAUAUCAGUCAGAUAACUUGUACAGCUUCCUAUCGUAUAAAGAUCGUGAUGUCAAGAUUAAGAAGUUGGAAGUGAGCAUCAACCUUCUACUGGAAGAUAAAGGGAUCCUCUGAAAACAACGGUUCAGGGCUGGAUUCAAAAUGGGGAUCAUAAUAAAUCCUAUUUUCAUAGGAUGGCGUUGGGCAGGAAAAAAAAAUAAGUUUUUCAUUGAGAUAAUGAAGGAUGUUAGGUGUAACACCUUUUAUCUAUCCCAAUGAUCGGUAUGGAUAUAAGAUGUUAUAAUAACACAUGCAAAAAACAUUCACAACUUGCAAAUCUGAAAAGAUUAUUCUUUAGAACAAUUUAAAAAACACCACUAAAUUAAGUUUGAGACUAUUUAAAAGAUUUUGAAAAUAUUUUAAAAUAAUUUAAAAUCGAUGCGUACAUGAUUGAAGGUGUUUGAGAUCAAAUAUGAGCUUCGAAGAGCUCAAAACAACCAAAAUAGUGCAAUGAUGUCUAUCUAGGGGAAAGAUGUUGAUACUUUAGCCUGGAACUAUAACUUUUUAGCUACUGACUUGAAUGUUCUAAAACUUAAGUUUCUUGAAGCAAAAAAUUGCUCUCUGACUACCAUGUGUCGAUAUGUAAAAGCAAGGUUCUGAAACCUUGAUGUCGGGGAUGAAAAUUUAAGUUAAAAACAGUCUAAAGCCACUCCAACACACCUCGUACUCAAGUGAAUGCAUAGAAUACUUAAAAGAUCAUUUAGAGCCAUGAAAUUUCAUACUUGAAAUACAUCUUUGCUUGGGUUAUACUCACAUAACAUCAAGGCAACCCUUAGAAAUAAUUUAUAGCUUCCUAAAUACAUCCAAGUCAAGUCAAAGCCCAAUCCAAUCCAAAUAAAAACACAAAAUUAAUAUGUACAUAAAUCACUUAUGCUCAAGGCUAAUCUAACAAUGCCUCAAAAUAUGACCAAAAAUAAUAUCCAUUGUGAGCAGCUAGCUACUCUUUUCUUGUAUGCUUCAUUGAAUAGAAAUCAUUAAAUCGUUGACUCAUUUUGGGUUCGACCCCUUGGAAUACUUCGUGUUCCAUUGAAACUAUAAAUAUUACAACUAAAACUGCAUGCUUGCAGUUAAAACUGCUCUUUAAAAUAGUUUUUUUUUAAAUAAAAUUAGUUGCUUUUACGCUUAUGCACAAUAGCGGUCAGUUAAGCAGUAGAGUUCAAUUUUAUUUCCAUGAUUCAAAUCAUUAUAAUACAAAAUCCGAAUCAAUUGCUUAUAACUAAUUUCAAAUGCAAAUAUUAACUAAUUCACAUGUAAAUUGUGCAAAUAUUCAAAUAAUACAACAAUAUAUAUGUAAAAAAUACACUAGUGAUACCAAUUGAUUCAGCUAAGCAUAUUGUCUUAAUUAAUAACUAAAUGAACAUACUAUACCGAUUUGAUUUACAUUCACAUUUCUUUCACUUUUAUGCAUUCAAUAAAGUUUACAUAUCAUGUCCAAACUGAAAACAAUUCAAACAUUGUCUUUAAAUUAGCUUAAUUAACCUUUAAAUUAUGUUUUGUCGUAAUAUAGAUGUACGGGCCUAAAUUUGCCCGAUGCCCAUGACUCAACCAAAAACAAAAAUAAAUAAAAACCAAAUUUUCAAACCAAAAUAAACAGCCCAAUAAAAAACCCCAAACUCAAAUUUUAGCCCAAACCUUAAAACCACAAUCAGCCCAAUAACAAAUACAACCCAAACUAUCAAUCUAAUGCAAAAAAAUAUCAGCAGAACCCUAGGAACGUUCAGCCACUGCCCCGUGCCUUUUCGUCAUCAGUCGCCCUCCACGCGUCGUCUGACAUCUGAAACAAGCACAAUAGCAGAGAAAGAAGCAUGCGAGCGUAGAGAAAUAAAGAGCAAAAAACAAAAAAACUAAAAGGGUAACUAAUCAAAAAAACAGAAUACUCGUUUUAAAGGUGAUUUUUUUAUUUUGUGUGAAAAUUUCUGUCUCUUUAUCUUGUUUUUACUUUUGUUUCUCUUAGUUAUUUUAUUUUAUUUUAUUUCACUUACGAAAAUAAAAGGGAAAUAAAACUUACCGGAAAACCCCCAUGGUCGGUCGUCGGAGACUUCUUUCUCCAUCGGAGUUGAGCCCAAAAGGGGAGGUUGGGAAGUCCCUUUAUUUUCGGGCACUCGACCGAGGGAUUUGGGACCUUCAAAGGCACCACGAACAGAGGCUAGGUAGCCUAUUUCGCUUGUCGUCAGCCACUGAUUGUAAUGGUGGUGUGACAAACCACCGAGGGCGGCGAUGAGGGGUUCAGGACCCUAGCCGAGCUGAAGAGAAAAGGGGGUAGGGAGGCUGAGUUCUUUUAAAAAAUAAGCAGCAGAAAUCUGCCUACAAAAGGAAGAAACCCUUUUGUUUUCUUUAAAAGGUGAAACGACGCAGUGUAAAAGGGGGGGUCAUUUUCAAAGCCCGAAUGGGC